GCAUCUUUGGACUUCAAGUACAGCACACUUCACUUUCAUCAAGUAUUACUGUACUGUUCUCAGAUAACCAGUGAUGCAUUUGAUUCCCACUCAAGCUGCCCAAAAAGUCAGUGAUGAGAAAGUUUGGCCAUUAGCUUGGGUACUGCAAAUGCAAGAAAAUCACAGGAAGUUCGUAGAUCCUCAACCUACUGGAUGUUUUAUGCUCAAAGAACAUGAGCUUCUAUUUCUAUGUCUAUUCAAACAAAUUAAGCUAUAGACUCCAGUUCCUGCAGCUGGAGCUAUCUUAUGGCUUUGUAACUUCUUUUUGCUUCUCUUAGUUUAAAGUCUUGUUGUGAGGGUGGAUUGGACCAAAGGACCUUCUACUCCCCUCAGAAACACCUCGCCAAGAAUAGAGAAAGACUUCUCUAUCAUUUUCCUAAAAACUAAAUGAGCACUUGAUGCUGAGACUAGAAACAUUAUUUUUACUGUUCUAUCCCAAUUAAUAUACUCUUGUCUUGCCUGGUAGUGAAAUC
This 512-nucleotide long non-coding RNA is filed under the name Bos taurus (domestic cattle). Its description in RNAcentral is "long non-coding RNA NONBTAT001701". Lineage: Eukaryota; Metazoa; Chordata; Mammalia; Artiodactyla; Bovidae. The record is from RNAcentral.